UAACUGAAGAGUUUGAUCAUGGCUCAGAUUGAACGCUGGCGGCAGGCUUAACACAUGCAAGUCGAGCGGGGGAAGGUAGCUUGCUACUGGACCUAGCGGCGGACGGGUGAGUAAUGCUUAGGAAUCUGCCUAUUAGUGGGGGACAACAUCUCGAAAGGGAUGCU
RNAcentral lists this ribosomal RNA (164 nucleotides) under Acinetobacter baumannii. RNAcentral's name for it is "partial 16S ribosomal RNA". It matches the Rfam family "Bacterial small subunit ribosomal RNA", at positions 1 to 164 of the family's 1533-position model. Lineage: Bacteria; Pseudomonadati; Pseudomonadota; Gammaproteobacteria; Moraxellales; Moraxellaceae. The record is from RNAcentral.